This 253-nucleotide ribosomal RNA is filed under the name uncultured bacterium. Its description in RNAcentral is "partial 16S ribosomal RNA". It matches the Rfam family "Bacterial small subunit ribosomal RNA", at positions 524 to 776 of the family's 1533-position model. The record is from RNAcentral.
UACGGAGGGUGCAAGCGUUGUUCGGCAUCAUUGGGCGUAAAGCGCGUGUCGGCGGCUUGGCAAGUCGGUUGUGAAAUCCCGGGGCCCAACCCCGGAACUGCAUUCGAAACUGCCUCGCUAGAGUCCCGGAGAGGAAGGCGGAAUUCCCGGUGUAGAGGUGAAAUUCGUAGAUAUCGGGAGGAACACCAGCGGCGAAGGCGGCCUUCUGGACGGUGACUGACGCUGAGACGCGAAAGCGUGGGGAGCAAAUAGG